This 269-nucleotide long non-coding RNA is filed under the name Medicago truncatula (barrel medic). RNAcentral describes it as "lncRNA gene45496". The record is from RNAcentral. Lineage: Eukaryota; Viridiplantae; Streptophyta; Magnoliopsida; Fabales; Fabaceae.
AUCUCCUCCAUAUUCAAAUCCUCCUUUUUCACAUUAUUAGGUAAUCUCCAAUUAAAUCCAUGCAACAAAUUAGCCAAACUUGAUUGUAUCACCUUAAGACCAAGAGGAUAACCAGGACACAUCCUUCUACCAGUACCAAAUGGCAACAACUCAUAAUCAUGUCCUUUUACAUCUAUAUUAUUACCAAUAAACCUCUCAGGUAUAAACUCAUAUGGAUUGUCCCAAACAUUAGGAUCUCUUCCAAUUGUCCAAGUAUUGACAAGAAUUAG